GAUCAUGACUCAGGAUGAACGCUAGCGGCAGGCUUAACACAUGCAAGUAGAGGGGCAGCAUAAUGGAUAGCAAUAUCUAUGGUGGCGACCGGCGCACGGGUGCGUAACGCGUAUGCAACCUACCUUUAACAGGGGGAUAACACUGAGAAAUUGGUACUAAUACCCCCAUAAUAUCAUAGAAGGCAUCUUUUAUGGUUGAAAAUUCCGAUGGUUAGAGAUGGGCAUGCGUUGUA
This 233-nucleotide ribosomal RNA is filed under the name uncultured bacterium. RNAcentral's name for it is "partial 16S ribosomal RNA". It matches the Rfam family "Bacterial small subunit ribosomal RNA", at positions 15 to 240 of the family's 1533-position model. The record is from RNAcentral.